Molecule: ribosomal RNA, 501 nt
Filed under: uncultured Bacillus sp.
Lineage: Bacteria; Bacillati; Bacillota; Bacilli; Caryophanales; Bacillaceae
Description: partial 16S ribosomal RNA
Source: RNAcentral
CACGUAGUUAGCCGUGGCUUUCUGGUUAGGUACCGUCAAGGUACCGGCAGUUACUCCGGUACUUGUUCUUCCCUAACAACAGAGCUUUACGACCCGAAGCCUUCAUCGCUCACGCGGCGUUGCUCCAUCAGACUUUCGUCCAUUGUGGAAGAUUCCCUACUGCUGCCUCCCGUAGGAGUCUGGGCCGUGUCUCAGUCCCAGUGUGGCCGAUCACCCUCUCAGGUCGGCUACGCAUCGUCGCCUUGGUGAGCCGUUACCUCACCAACUAGCUAAUGCGCCGCGGGCCCAUCUGUAAGUGACAGCCGAAACCGUCUUUCAGCUCUUCCUCAUGAGAGGAAAAGGAUUAUCCGGUAUUAGCCCCGGUUUCCCGGAGUUAUCCCAGUCUUACAGGCAGGUUGCCCAGUGUUACCUCACCCCGUCGCCGCUGACCUUCCGAAGAAGUCCGCUCGACUUGCAUGUAUAGGCACGCCGCCAGCGUUCGUCUGAGCCAGAUCAAACUCU